GUCUCUAUAGCUCAAUAGGUAGAGCGCAGUACUGUUAAUACUGAGAGUAGAUGUUCGAUUCAUCUUAGAGGCG
Daldinia eschscholtzii is the source of this 73-nucleotide non-coding RNA. Lineage: Eukaryota; Fungi; Ascomycota; Sordariomycetes; Xylariales; Hypoxylaceae. The record is from the annotation of a GenBank genome assembly.